GUUUAUCAUACUUGUAGAGUUCAGUAGAUAUAUGACCUCGUGCUGUUUAAAAGUUGAAGCCAGAGGAAACUCUGAUGAUGGUGGACCGUAGUGUUUGUGACGUGCUAAUCGAUCGUAUAACUUGAGUAUACGAGCGACGAACUAUCUAGUAGCUGGUUCUCUCCAAAGUGUUUCCUCAGGAUAGUUAGUAUUCUGAGAAUUAAAGGACUUUAUCGGGUAAAGCGAAUGAUUGGAGGCAUUGGGGAGGAAUCAUCGUCAAACUAUUCUCAAACUUUCAUUGGAUGAGAAUCUUGACUCGUUUGAUUGAAGUUUUGCGUGAAAUGUGAGUGCCAAGUGGGCCAUUUUUGGUAAGCAGAACUGGCGCUGUCCGUUAAGGUGCCUAACACGACGCUCAUGAGAUACCACAAAAUGUGUUGGUUGAUCUAGACAGAAUGACGGUAGCCAUGGAAGUCGAAAGCCGCUAAGGAGUGUGUAACAACUCACCUGCCGAACCAAUCAGCCCUGAAAAUGGAUGGUGCUCGAGUGUUGGACCUAUACCGGACGGUUGCAGUAAGCAGUUCAGUCAUUUAUACGAAGAUAUCUAAACAAUUAAUUGAUUAGCCUUAAUAACCUGUAUGUAUAUAU
Molecule: non-coding RNA, 624 nt
Filed under: Schistosoma mansoni
Lineage: Eukaryota; Metazoa; Platyhelminthes; Trematoda; Strigeidida; Schistosomatidae
Description: Eukaryotic large subunit ribosomal RNA
Rfam family: Eukaryotic large subunit ribosomal RNA
Source: Rfam by way of RNAcentral